AUUGCCCUAGUAACGGCGAGUGAAGCGGCAACAGCUCAAAUUUGAAAUCUGGCCCUAGCGGUCCGAGUUGUAAUUUGCAGAGGAUGCUUUUGGUGCGGUGCCUUCCGAGUUCCCUGGAACGGGACGCCAGAGAGGGUGAGAGCCCCGUACGGUUGGACACCUACCCUAUAUAUAGCUCCUUCGACGAGUCGAGUAGUUUGGGAAUGCUGCUCUAAAUGGGAGGUAAAUUUCUUCUAAAGCUAAAUACCGGCCAGAGACCGAUAGCGCACAAGUAGAGUGAUCGAAAGAUGAAAAGCACUUUGAAAAGAGGGUUAAAUAGCACGUGAAAUUGUUGAAAGGGAAGCGUUUGCGACCAGACCUUUUCCAGGCGGAUCAUCCGGUGUUCUCACCGGUGCACUUCGCCUGGUUUAGGCCAGCAUCGGUUUUCUUAGGGGGAUAAAGGCCUGGGGAACGUAGCUCUUUAGGGAGUGUUAUAGCCCCUCGCGUAAUACCCCUCGGGGGACCGAGGACCGCGCUCUGCAAGGAUGCUGGCGUAAUGGUCGUCAACGACCCGUCUUGAAACACGGACCAAGGAGUCGAACAUUUGUGCGAGUGUUUGGGUGUUAAACCCUCACGCGUAAUGAAAGUGAACGGAGGUGAGAGCCCUCACGGGUGCAUCAUCGACCGAUCCUGAUGUCUUCGGAUGGAUUUGAGUAAGAGCAUAACUGUUCGGACCCGAAAGAUGGUGAACUAUGCGUGGAUAGGGUGAAGCCAGAGGAAACUCUGGUGGAGGCUCGCAGCGGUUCUGACGUGCAAAUCGAUCGUCAAAUCUGCGCAUGGGGGCGAAAGAC
This 830-nucleotide ribosomal RNA is filed under the name Annulohypoxylon thailandicum. RNAcentral's name for it is "partial large subunit ribosomal RNA". It matches the Rfam family "Eukaryotic large subunit ribosomal RNA", at positions 74 to 931 of the family's 3401-position model. Lineage: Eukaryota; Fungi; Ascomycota; Sordariomycetes; Xylariales; Hypoxylaceae. The record is from RNAcentral.